CAGCCGCCGCGGUAACACAGAGGGUGCGAGCGUUAAUCGGAUUUACUGGGCGUAAAGCGUGCGUAGGCGGCUUUUUAAGUCGGAUGUGAAAUCCCUGAGCUUAACUUAGGAAUUGCAUUCGAUACUGGGAAGCUAGAGUAUGGGAGAGAAUGGUAGAAUUCCAGGUGUAGCGGUGAAAUGCGUAGAGAUCUGGAGGAAUACCGAUGGCGAAGGCAGCCAUCUUGCCUAAUACUGACGCUGAGGUACGAAAGCAUGGGGAGCAAACAGGAUUAGAUACCCCGGUAGUCCCUGUCUCUUAUAC
RNAcentral lists this ribosomal RNA (301 nucleotides) under uncultured bacterium. RNAcentral describes it as "partial 16S ribosomal RNA". It matches the Rfam family "Bacterial small subunit ribosomal RNA", at positions 509 to 807 of the family's 1533-position model. The record is from RNAcentral.